AUUCAGCUAAUGGUUCAUCAAGUGGCUCAACUAAUGGUUCAUCAAGUGGAUCAACUAGUGGUUCAUCAAGUGGCUCUUCAAGUGGUUCAACUAGCACCUCAACAACUGGCUCAGACAAAACUACUGUCAACAUUCCGAUUGGACAGAUUUAUUAUGUACCAAACAACAGUUGUGUCUACUAUGAAUGCAAUGAAGAAAACGGGGUUCCAGUACUGACCAAAGUACAGAAAGUCUGCCAGAAAUUAGACCUGAGCACUUGUGAACUGGGAACUCUAAAAUAUGAUUCUGAUGGAUGCUGUCAGACCUGUACGCCUAAG
Nanorana parkeri is the source of this 317-nucleotide long non-coding RNA. RefSeq lists it as uncharacterized. The record is from RefSeq and is a predicted model, not a curated record. The transcript is spliced from 3 exons. NCBI's taxonomy places the organism in Eukaryota, Metazoa, Chordata, Amphibia, Anura, Dicroglossidae.